This 775-nucleotide ribosomal RNA is filed under the name uncultured Neocallimastigales. Its description in RNAcentral is "partial large subunit ribosomal RNA". It matches the Rfam family "Eukaryotic large subunit ribosomal RNA", at positions 23 to 629 of the family's 3401-position model. Lineage: Eukaryota; Fungi; Neocallimastigomycota; Neocallimastigomycetes; Neocallimastigales. The record is from RNAcentral.
AGAGAGAGACAUGCGCGCAUAUCAAUAAGCGGAGGAAAAGAAACUAACUAGGAUUCCCUUAGUAACGGCGAGUGAAGCGGGAAGAGCUCAAAUUUGAAAUCUUCAAGGUUUUACCUUGACGAAUUGUAGUUUAAAGAAGUGUUUUCUGUUGGAAGUUUUGGUAAAAGUUCUUUGGAAUAGGACAUCAUAGAGGGUGAGAAUCCCGUAUUUGACCAUUAUUUCAGCUGUGUGAUACACUUUCAAAGAGUCGGAUUGUUUGGGAAUGCAGUCCAAAAUGGGUGGUAAAUUUCAUCUAAAGCUAAAUAUUGGCGAGAGACUGAUAGCGAACAAGUACCGUGAGGGAAAGAUGAAAAGAACUUUGAAAAGAGAGUUAAACAGUACGUGAAAUUGUCAAAAGGGAAGCGUUUGACACCAGUGUUGUUUUCUCGAAAAUCAAUUAAAAAGAGUUAGAUUUUGUUGUAUAUUGACCUUAACAGCUUGCAUUUCAAUUUUCUUGCUUUUUUUAAUGCACUUUUCGUUUAACAAGUCAACAUCAGUUUCUUUUGUUGUAAAAAGGGUCAUUGGAAGGUGGCUUUCUUUUCGGAGAAAGUGUUUAUAGCCUUUGGCCUCUGCAAUCGGAGAGAUUGAGGUCUGCAGCGUAGAUCCUUCGGGGUUAGAUACAUUUGUGCUAAGUUAUAGCCUUUCAUAGACAACUUGUUGACUAUGAUCAGUCAUGUAGCUUACUCGCUUAUGCUAUUUUACCUACGCUUAGGAUGUUGAUGUGAUACUGCGAGCA